CUAUCCUAUAGAGAAAAGAGCACCCCACCUCAAUCAGUCUUUGACCACCUUUUAGAUAUGUUUUCUGAAAAGAAAAAAAGCAACGUUCUUGCUGUAGUUAUGCUGACUUUUUUUUACACUUACAUUAGUGUAAUUCCAUGUUUCAACAAAUUGUGUAAGGAAAACAGUCUCUGCAUAUGAAGGCAACAUUCAGAUACAGAGACCUUCCUAUUUCUGUGUUCCCAUUAAGACAGGUGUAAAAGCAAUAAUACAUUUUGUCUGACUUUUUAAUUUUCAGAAUUCAAUGUUAAAUAUGAAGCAAACUCAGACACUUGUACAUAUUCCACACUGAUUUCACUUUGGGCUGUGAAGAAUUCUUUCAUUUAGCACCCACCCUAACCUACAGAACUGAGAUGACUAAAGUUACGGCUGUACCUUCUAAGACAAGGAGACAUUUCUUUGCUCCAGCAGAAUGUUCCGUUUCUUAUGGUGAUACUUGCCUGUACUAAGAUAUAAGGAGAAAAAGAACACUUGUGAAAUUCAAAAGCACCAUUCUGGAAGCUGAACAAUGGAAGCUACUCCUCUUGUAAGACAACACUAAGACAGAAGCUCACCACAGUCAGAAGUGUUUCUGUUUGAGCUCUCGGGAUUCAGUUCUUCCAGAUUCAGAAAAGCUGCUAAGCGGUUAAAAGAAACUUUGGCCUGAAAAUGAAGAAGCACAUAAAACAGUAAGAUUUAGAAUAGAAAGGGAGUACAACUAGAAGGUAAGACUCAUACUGAAAACCCACUGAAGACUGUUAAUUAGGUGCUAUGUUGCAGAUGCUAUGUAGGCUUAGAUGGACAAAUGCAGCUCUUCCCUAAGUUAAUCGUAUUUAUUUCCACUUAAACAAAAAAGCCAUGUUCUUCCAUGUAUUUUCUGUUCAAAUGCUUGAAAUUGCUGCUUUUUUCCCAAAUUCAUCCUGCAAUUUUCCCAGUGAUUGCUCCUGUAUAUGAAGAAUCAUGACAGUCUUCUUGAAGUGCAAGAGAGAAGCAAAAUUUUCCAAUUUCUCACUAAUGACUUGCUUUUCUCUCUGGCCUCGGCUAGCAAGGUUCUUCUGAUCUCCCAUGGAGAUUUUGCCCCAUUUGUUCUGAUCUCUGUGAUUAAAAAUAGAACUGGAAGCAUGUCUGAGAUUUAAUGGUGCUUGUGAUACAGGACUAACAGGUAAUUAAUGCUUCUAAAAGAGAGCUUAAUCCCAGAUACUGCCCACCAAAAAAGUAUUAGUCUCUGCCUUACACCAUAUGACGUUUAUAUGGCCCUAAAAGACUUAAGAAUUAUUCUUAGUGACUAUUUUGUCAAUAUAUCAACCUUUCUGAAAAACAGUACUUCUGAAGUACCUUUAGCUGCAACUCCUUGCACUUCACUUUUUUACAAUAGCAAUUAAAUAGCUGGCCUGAAAUUCAAAGCCAUAAGAAAUCCCUCCCUUUACCUUUCAAUGGUGGUAUCUAAAAAACAGUUUUGGCCAAAAAAAAAAAAAAAAAGAAACAUAUCCUGCAAUUAACCUGGA
This is a non-coding RNA of Anas platyrhynchos (mallard), 1523 nucleotides long. The record is from RefSeq and is a predicted model, not a curated record. Lineage: Eukaryota; Metazoa; Chordata; Aves; Anseriformes; Anatidae.